GCAGUCUGUAAGUGCUUAAUCUGCAUGUAACUUUACGCUCGUACCGGACAGCUGCCACACUCUGGACUCGGACUGAGCCGAACUGUCGUUCCUGUGAUGCCCCAGGGCGGGUUGAGCUGCUCGGGGUUGCGAUGCCUUAUGUGGACCGACAGAAUCGCAUCUGCGGCUUCCUGGACAUCGAGGAAAAUGAGAGCAGCGGAAGGUUCCUGCGCCGAUACUUCAUCCUGGACACCAAACAGGGAAACCUGCUGUGGUUCAUGGACAACCCACAGAAUCUGCCUAAAGGUGCAGAGAAGGUGGGAUCUCUCAAACUUACCUACAUCUCAAAGGUAAGUC
Long non-coding RNA from Notothenia coriiceps (black rockcod), 336 nucleotides. RefSeq lists it as uncharacterized. The transcript has 3 exons. The record is from RefSeq and is a predicted model, not a curated record. NCBI's taxonomy places the organism in Eukaryota, Metazoa, Chordata, Actinopteri, Perciformes, Nototheniidae.